GGAAGUAGAAGUCGUAACAAGGUCUCCGUUGGUGAACCAGCGGAGGGAUCAUUACCGAGUUUACAACUCCCAAACCCAAUGUGAACGUUACCAAACUGUUGCCUCGGCGGGAUCUCUGCCCCGGGUGCGUCGCAGCCCCGGACCAAGGCGCCCGCCGGAGGACCAACCAAAACUCUUUACGUAUACCCCCUCGCGGGUUUUUUUACAAUCUGAGCCAUCUCGGCGCCCCUCGUGGGCGUUUCGAAAAUGAAUCAAAACUUUCAACAACGGAUCUCUUGGUUCUG
RNAcentral lists this unclassified non-coding RNA (284 nucleotides) under plant metagenome. Its description in RNAcentral is "partial contains small subunit ribosomal RNA, internal transcribed spacer 1, and 5.8S ribosomal RNA". The stretch from base 1 to 54 matches the Rfam family "Eukaryotic small subunit ribosomal RNA", at positions 1778 to 1831 of the family's 1831-position model. The record is from RNAcentral.